RNAcentral lists this ribosomal RNA (484 nucleotides) under uncultured bacterium. RNAcentral's name for it is "partial 16S ribosomal RNA". It matches the Rfam family "Bacterial small subunit ribosomal RNA", at positions 30 to 507 of the family's 1533-position model. The record is from RNAcentral.
AUUGAACGCUGGCGGCAUGCCUAACACAUGCAAGUCGAGCGGAUGAAGGGAGCUUGCUCCUGGAUUCAGCGGCGGACGGGUGAGUAAUGCCUAGGAAUCUGCCUGGUAUUGGGGGAUAACGUCCGUAAACGGGCGCUAAUACCGCAUACGUCCUGAGUGGGAAAGUGGGGGAUCUUCGGACCUCACGCUAUCAGAUGAGCCUAGGUCGGAUUAGCUAGUUGGUGGGGUAAAGGCCUACCAAGGCGACGAUCCGUAACUGGUCUGAGAGGAUGAUCAGUCACACUGGAACUGAGACACGGUCCAGACUCCUACGGGAGGAAGAAGUGGGGAAUAUUGGACAAUGGGCGAAAGCCUGAUCCAGCCAUGCCGCGUGUGUGAAGAAGGUCUUCGGAUUGUAAAGCACUUUAAGUUGGGAGGAAGGGCAGUAAGUUAAUACCUUGCUGUUUUGACGUUACCAACAGAAUAAGCACCGGCUAACUUCGUG